This 543-nucleotide ribosomal RNA is filed under the name Bacillus zhangzhouensis. RNAcentral's name for it is "bacterial SSU rRNA". It matches the Rfam family "Bacterial small subunit ribosomal RNA", at positions 381 to 916 of the family's 1533-position model. The record is from RNAcentral. Lineage: Bacteria; Bacillati; Bacillota; Bacilli; Caryophanales; Bacillaceae.
GUCUGACGGAGCACGCCGCGUGAGUGAUGAAGGUUUUCGGAUCGUAAAGCUCUGUUGUUAGGGAAGAACAAGUGCGAGAGUAACUGCUCGCACCUUGACGGUACCUAACCAGAAAGCCACGGCUAACUACGUGCCAGCAGCCGCGGUAAUACGUAGGUGGCAAGCGUUGUCCGGAAUUAUUGGGCGUAAAGGGCUCGCAGGCGGUUUCUUAAGUCUGAUGUGAAAGCCCCCGGCUCAACCGGGGAGGGUCAUUGGAAACUGGGAAACUUGAGUGCAGAAGAGGAGAGNGGAAUUCCACGUGUAGCGGUGAAAUGCGUAGAGAUGUGGAGGAACACCAGUGGCGAAGGCGACUCUCUGGUCUGUAACUGACGCUGAGGAGCGAAAGCGUGGGGAGCGAACAGGAUUAGAUACCCUGGUAGUCCACGCCGUAAACGAUGAGUGCUAAGUGUUAGGGGGUUUCCGCCCCUUAGUGCUGCAGCUAACGCAUUAAGCACUCCGCCUGGGGAGUACGGUCGCAAGACUGAAACUCAAAGGAAUUGACGG